GGGGGGGGGUGGGGGGGGGCCUAGGGGAUGGAAGUCGAGCGAACAGACGAGGAGCUUGCUCCUCUGACGUUAGCGGCGGACGGGUGAGUAACACGUGGAUAACCUACCUAUAAGACUGGGAUAACUUCGGGAAACCGGAGCUAAUACCGGAUAAUAUAUUGAACCGCAUGGUUCAAUAGUGAAAGACGGUUUUGCUGUCACUUAUAGAUGGAUCCGCGCCGCAUUAGCUAGUUGGUAAGGUAACGGCUUACCAAGGCAACGAUGCGUAGCCGACCUGAGAGGGUGAUCGGCCACACUGGAACUGAGACACGGUCCAGACUCCUACGGGAGGCAGCAGUAGGGAAUCUUCCGCAAUGGGCGAAAGCCUGACGGAGCAACGCCGCGUGAGUGAUGAAGGUCUUCGGAUCGUAAAACUCUGUUAUUAGGGAAGAACAAAUGUGUAAGUAACUAUGCACGUCUUGACGGUACCUAAUCAGAAAGCCACGGCUAACUACGUG
Molecule: ribosomal RNA, 497 nt
Filed under: uncultured bacterium
Lineage: Bacteria
Description: partial 16S ribosomal RNA
Rfam family: Bacterial small subunit ribosomal RNA
Source: RNAcentral